Long non-coding RNA from Lycium barbarum (goji berry), 1320 nucleotides. RefSeq lists it as uncharacterized. NCBI's taxonomy places the organism in Eukaryota, Viridiplantae, Streptophyta, Magnoliopsida, Solanales, Solanaceae. The record is from RefSeq and is a predicted model, not a curated record. The transcript has 2 exons.
AGAAAAUCAUACAUUAAUGAACCAUGGGAACAACCAUCCAAACAUGGAGUAAAGGAGCUCUUCGCUGCACAACUAAGCAUGAGCUGUCUUCCUUUCCUCUGCAAGAUAAUUUCCAAGGAGUUGGUUGCUCCAUUUUGGGAAAACACAUUAAUGCUCUUGUUUUGUUCCUCCGAACGGUAACAUGCUCUACUUUCAAAUCUUUUUGAUUUUCUAUUUUUUCUCUUUAAGAUUUCAAACCCCAAUUCAACGAAUUUCAGUGCAAAUUGGGUUCCAAGGCAAUUUGAAAAUGUCCCACAUUAUUAGUUUACUAAAAUCUAGCUUUUUAGGGUUCUACAAAUUUGAACUUUAAAACACCAAAGGAAUUCAAAGCUCAGACUUAGAAUGUCUUUUAGCAAGUAGUGGUGAGUAAAAUCUGUCUAUGAAUGAGGAAUGGGGUUCUAUUACAGAUUUUACACAACAAAUAGAAUCCCAUUCCUCAGUCACAGACAUAUUUUACACAUCACUACUUGCUAAAAGACAUUCUAAGUCUGAGCUUUGAGUUCCUUUGGUGUUUUAAAGUUCAAAUUUUAAUUUUUUGAUUUUUUGUUAGAGUAUCGAUCUUGUUGUCAUUGGUGAAAGGUGAUUGAUUCAACUCUCUUUACCCUCGUGGCUGCUCGGCAAAAAGGUACACAACAGUUCAACAGAUUCAAUGAUCUUCCAACAAUGGCUAGGAAAUUAAUCAAUAUUGAUAAAGCUCAGAUCCCAAAUCUGAGAAUCAGAUAUGCUUUUGAUUCAUUUCAUUACAGUUGAAGAUAACAAAUGCUCACAAGUAGCUGCAUUUUGAUAUGCUGCUGCUGUGAUGAUGACACUGCUAUGCUGUUAUAUGCUGAUCUGUACAUUAUCUGAUUGAAUAUUCUUUUGUAUGGGUGGUAUUAGUGUGGUUUCAUGCUCAUUCCCAUGCAGAUGAUAUUCAACUAGUAAGUAGGCAGAUCAAUACUGAAGAACAUGGCUCGUUUCCCACUUGCUGAUUGGUUUUAAGCAAAAGGGCAUCUUUCAUAAGAGUUGUUAACUAUCUUGGCAGCUUGAAUGUGGUUCAAGUAGACUUUGUUCCAUACCACCUGGUGAGAGCUUAGAGGUGUGAUAAAUGGAAGGAAGUCAAGGCACCAAGACUAAAUUUUCAAUAGGCAUGAAUUGUUGGCUUUUAGCUUAGUUUGGAUAUUUUGCUUUUUGUUUUGCCUUUUUUCUGUUUUCCUUUGCUAUUUUAGCUUGUAUAGAACUUUUGUUUAUUAAUAAAAUUCCCCAUCGCAAUGUGGUGGCUUCAGUUAAAAAAAAAAACACCAA